Nycticebus coucang (slow loris) is the source of this 138-nucleotide small nucleolar RNA. Lineage: Eukaryota; Metazoa; Chordata; Mammalia; Primates; Lorisidae. The record is from RefSeq and is a predicted model, not a curated record.
CAACAAUAAAAAAAAAAAAGAAUUCAAGAAGAAUUUUCUUGUAACCAGUUAGGUCUGAAGGCAAUGUAAUAGAAACUUCCUUUUUCCACAAGAAACAUCCCUGCAGUGGGUUGUUCCUAUUGACAGGAUGUUACACAU